Small nucleolar RNA from Lepidothrix coronata (blue-crowned manakin), 77 nucleotides. The record is from Ensembl. NCBI's taxonomy places the organism in Eukaryota, Metazoa, Chordata, Aves, Passeriformes, Pipridae.
CUGAGCUAGUGAUGAUAAAGGUUAUCCCUGUCUGAAACUGAUCUUUUCCUCUGUGGAAGUAUCACUCUGAGGCUCGG